RNAcentral lists this ribosomal RNA (468 nucleotides) under uncultured bacterium. RNAcentral describes it as "partial 16S ribosomal RNA". It matches the Rfam family "Bacterial small subunit ribosomal RNA", at positions 28 to 507 of the family's 1533-position model. The record is from RNAcentral.
GACGAACGCUGGCGGCGUGCUUAACACAUGCAAGUCGAACGGAAAGGCCCUGCUUUUGUGGGGUGCUCGAGUGGCGAACGGGUGAGUAACACGUGAGUAACCUGCCCUUGACUUUGGGAUAACUUCAGGAAACUGGGGCUAAUACCGGAUAGGAGCUCCUGCUGCAUGGUGGGGGUUGGAAAUUUUCGGCGGUUGGGGAUGGACUCGCGGGUUAUCAGCUUGUUGGUGGGGGAGUGGCUUACCAAGGCUUUGGAGGGUAGCCGGCCUGGGAGGGUGACCGGCCACAUUGGGACUGAGAGACGGCCCAGAGUCCUAUGGGAGGCAGCAGUGGGGAAUAUUGCACAAUGGGCGGAAGCCUGAUGCAGCAACGCCGCGUGCGGGAUGACGGCCUUCGGGUUGUAAACCGCUUUCGCCUGUGACGAAGCGUGAGUGACGGUAAUGGGUAAAGAAGCACCGGCUAACUACGUG